UACGUAGGGUGCGAGCGUUGUCCGGAAUUAUUGGGCGUAAAGGGCUCGUAGGCGGUCUGUUGCGUCGGGAGUGAAAACUCAGGGCUUAACCCUGAGCCUGCUUCCGAUACGGGCAGACUAGAGGUAUGCAGGGGAGAACGGAAUUCCUGGUGUAGCGGUGAAAUGCGCAGAUAUCAGGAGGAACACCGGUGGCGAAGGCAGUUCUCUGGGCAUUACCUGACGCUGAGGAGCGAAAGUGUGGGGAGCGAACAGG
This 253-nucleotide ribosomal RNA is filed under the name uncultured bacterium. RNAcentral describes it as "partial 16S ribosomal RNA". It matches the Rfam family "Bacterial small subunit ribosomal RNA", at positions 524 to 776 of the family's 1533-position model. The record is from RNAcentral.